RNAcentral lists this ribosomal RNA (253 nucleotides) under uncultured bacterium. RNAcentral's name for it is "partial 16S ribosomal RNA". It matches the Rfam family "Bacterial small subunit ribosomal RNA", at positions 524 to 776 of the family's 1533-position model. The record is from RNAcentral.
UACGAAGGGGGCUAGCGUUGUUCGGAUUUACUGGGCGUAAAGCGCACGUAGGCGGAUCGUUAAGUCGGGGGUGAAAUCCUGGAGCUCAACUCCAGAACUGCCUUCGAUACUGGCGAUCUUGAGUCCGGAAGAGGUGAGUGGAACUCCUAGUGUAGAGGUGGAAUUCGUAGAUAUUCGGAAGAACACCAGUGGCGAAGGCGGCUCACUGGACUGGUAUUGACGCUGAGGUGCGAAAGCGUGGGGAGCAAACAGG